CUACGUGCCAGCAGCCGCGGUAAUACGGAGGGUGCGAGCGUUAAUCGGAAUAACUGGGCGUAAAGGGCACGCAGGCGGACUUUUAAGUGAGGUGUGAAAGCCCCGGGCUUAACCUGGGAAUUGCAUUUCAGACUGGGAGUCUAGAGUACUUUAGGGAGGGGUAGAAUUCCACGUGUAGCGGUGAAAUGCGUAGAGAUGUGGAGGAAUACCGAAGGCGAAGGCAGCCCCUUGGGAAUGUACUGACGCUCAUGUGCGAAAGCGUGGGGAGCAAACAGGAUUAGAUACCCUGGUAGUCCACGCUGUAAACGAUGUCGAUUUGGGGGUUGAACUUUGAGUUUGGCGCCCGUAGCUAACGUGAUAAAUCGACCGCCUGGGGAGUACGGCCGCAAGGUUAAAACUCAAAUGAAUUGACGGGGGCCCGCACAAGCGGUGGAGCAUGUGGUUUAAUUCGAUGCAACGCGAAGAACCUUACCUACUCUUGACAUCCAGA
RNAcentral lists this ribosomal RNA (490 nucleotides) under uncultured bacterium. RNAcentral describes it as "bacterial SSU rRNA". It matches the Rfam family "Bacterial small subunit ribosomal RNA", at positions 501 to 992 of the family's 1533-position model. The record is from RNAcentral.